UUCCACACUGUGGAAGCUUUGUUCUUUCACUCUUUGCAAUAAAUCUUGCUACUGCUCACUCUUUGGGUCCACACUGCUUUUAUGAGCUGUAACACUCACCGUGAAGGUCUGCAGCUUCACUCCUGAAGCCAGCGAGACCAUGAGCCCACUGGGAGGAAUGAACAACUCCAGACGCGCCACCUUAAGAACUGUAACACUCACCGCGAAGGUCUGCAGCUUCACUCCUGAGCCAGUGAGACCACGAACCCACCAGAAGGAAGAAACUCCCAACACAUCUGAACAUCAGAAGGAACAAACUCCAGAUGUGCCACCUUAAGAGCUGUAACACUCACCGUGAGGGUCCGCGGCUUCAUUCUUGAAGUUGGUGAGACCAAGAACCCACCAAUUCUGGACACAGUUCCAUAAUUUUAAAUGAUGACUAUUGCAGUUUUCAUAAAUAAUCUAGGACACAAUUGGAGAAACUGGCUAUUUUACCAAGGCUUUGACUGGAAUGGCGUGAUUUCCUUGAAGGAAUCAAACUUGACUUAUGGAGCCAAUAAAAGCCCCUUAGGAAACUGGCCUCAUAUCUCGUCUACACAGUCCCUGUACAGGGUUCCUGACCUGUGGACAUGAGACUUCACAAUCUGCAAAAAUGAGCUUUCCUAAUAACUCAGGACGUACGCAUGUAGGAAUAAACCAUCCUAGCCAUGAGAGAUCAGAUGAAACCUGAGACCAGAGACUCGUUUUCUUCUAAAAUGCUUUCUCCAAAAGAUUCUAAAAAAGAAAAUGGAGGAAAUGUGAAAGGAAAAUAAAUCUUGGGUCUCCAAAAUUACUAAGCUAAAGGGAAAAAUCAAACUGGGAACUGUUCAGGGCAAAACUGCCUCUCAUUCUAUUCAGUCACCCCUCUACUCACUGAGAUAAAAGCAUAUCUGAUUGCCUUAUUUGAAGAGGCUAAUCAGAAACUCAAAAUAAUGCAAUCAUUUGUCUCUUAUCUACCUAUGACCUGGAAGCCCCCUCCCCACUUUAAGUCACGCCCACCUUUACCUCAAGUUGUCCCACCUUUCAGGACUGAAGCAAUGUUCAUCUUACACAUAUUGAUUGAUGUCUCAUGUCUCCCUAAAAUAUACAAAACCAAGCUCUUCUCCUACUAGCUUGGGCACAUAU
Pongo pygmaeus (Bornean orangutan) is the source of this 1143-nucleotide long non-coding RNA. RefSeq lists it as uncharacterized. The record is from RefSeq and is a predicted model, not a curated record. The transcript is spliced from 3 exons. NCBI's taxonomy places the organism in Eukaryota, Metazoa, Chordata, Mammalia, Primates, Hominidae.